This is a long non-coding RNA of Haliotis rubra (blacklip abalone), 589 nucleotides long. RefSeq lists it as uncharacterized. The transcript has 7 exons. NCBI's taxonomy places the organism in Eukaryota, Metazoa, Mollusca, Gastropoda, Lepetellida, Haliotidae. The record is from RefSeq and is a predicted model, not a curated record.
ACCUUAAUGAUUCUGUUUAAGGCAAUGGAGAAACUUGUGGAGAAGGGACUGGUUCGCAGUAUCGGAAUUAGCAAUUUUAAUAUCAGCCAGGUCGAGCGACUAUUGAACAUGGAAGGACUGAAAAUCAAACCUUCAAACCACCAAAUUGAGAUUCACCCUAUGUUUAACAACAACGACCUCAUUAAAUACAGUCACUGCGUUCUGCCCCCUAGGGGGUAUGUCGGGGAAUAGCGGCAUUGUCAACAACCCUACACUUGGAAGCGGUGGGCAAAAAGUAUGGAAAGUCUGCUGCUCAGGUAGCCUUGAGAUGGGGGAUGCAGAGAGGAUACGCUGUUUUAACGAAGAGUAUGAGAGAAGAGAGGAUAAAGCAUAACUUCCAGUUGUGGGACUUUGAGUUAAGUGACGAGGAUAUGGAUGCUGUCAAUUCUGUCAAUAGUGACAACCGUCAAGUGGGACCUAACAUGUUCACGGGUCAUCGUUUCUGUCCAUUUUAGAUGAGAGGCAUUCGAAGCGUACAACACUGCUACAACCAACAAUGAAUUUAAAGCAAGGUCCUCUUCCACACCACCCGUCAUUAUGAUGCCGUCAC